AUGGGGAUACUGGGGCCAAACGUAAUCUCACUGAACCCUGCGAGUUUGUCUUUGAACCGAGUACACGUGGCCAUUCCUGCCCAUUUUGCAGGAUCCAAUAAGCCCCCCCAAGAGUGGAAGUGUCCCCAGAGACUGAUGGGCAUGCCCUGCUGUGAGCAGCAGCCCGGUUCUGCCCUGUGCCCCUCGGAGCCCCCCCGGCCCCCGGCCAAGCUCGGGGAGGUGGCAGAGGAGCAGGUCCAGGAGGAUGUGAUGAAGUGGCCGUCCCGGUCGUCAGGCCCAGCGUGGGGACGGGUCUGGCGAGGCUCCUCUCUGGAUGCUGGGACUUUGGGGCCGUGGCUGGGACGACUGGAAAGAGGCCCGUGUCCCCCUGGGCGGGGCGGCUGCAGUGCUGAGCGCCGGCCCUGUUUCCUGACGGCCGGCUCCCGACCCCCGCGGGACGGACUUGGUGGCAGCACACCCGACCCGCCAGCGCUUUCCCGUUCACCGCGGUGGCUCUGAGUCUGCCCUGCUGGCAGCCAGCGCGGGACCUGGACUGGCCAGGGCGCGCAGCAAUUCCCUGGCGGUGCCGAGACCUGCCUCGAAGUCCUGAGCGCGCGGGGUGGGGGUGGGGGUGGGACGACGACAGAGGGACAGUGUGAUGACGCGGGGGGACCCGGCCGCCCAGAACAGCGACCUCGAGGACAGCUGACUGGGCCUGGUGGAGAGGCGGGGACCGAGGCCGGUGGGGGAGGGCGGGGACGCGUGAAGGGGGCCUGGCCGGCGGGGCGCAGAGGAGACGCAGCUAGAGUCCGAGCAGCCGUGUGGUCGUGAGUGGUGCGGAGAAGUGGCUUCUCAGUUUGAAUCGUGAGCAAUUUGGGGCCAGUUUUCAGUGAAGGUCGAAGGAGCUGGCGCGCUGAGGAGACAGGCUUUGGCCGAAAUCUGCUUUGCGCGGUGUGCGACCUUCGGAGGCGUUGAGGAGGUCGGUGGUCUCACGUCUUUUCCCAGGGGCUUCUCGGCGGCUCCUCGGGGCUGCCUGCGUGUCCCGCAGCGGCCGGGGCCGGCGCCAGGCUGGUUCGCCGCCGGCAUCCUCGCCCCGCCGCGGAGCCCACUCUGGGCCGGGAAGGAGGACGGGCCCUUGGAGCCUGGCCCUGGCCGCCCUCCGGCCUCGCCUGGGCCUUGGCGAGCCGCCACGGCUCUGCGCGGGGGCCGUUUGCAGCAGCUGCUUCGCACAGGCAGGGCGGACACGCAGGCUGACCCUCGGCGCGUGGUGGCGGGAGAGGCGUGGGGACGCCGUGGCCCCUGCUGCGCCCGGUGUCUGUGCGUGUUGCCCCGAGUGACACACGGCUCAUCUGGCUGAUGGAACGAGCUGCCAGAUCGGAGGCCUUCGUGUGCUCUGGCUGCUCGGCUUGCAGACCCACGUCUCAGCACAGUGGCCCUCGCGUCAGGCUAACCCGAGGGAUUUUGAGCUGGAGGAACUGUCUGGAGAGGCCUUCCGGAAGGAGGUCCAUCUGCGGGGACCGUGGGGUCGUCCUUCCGGUCGGCAGAGCCGGGCGGGGGUCUUUUAACAGGAGAGAGCGAUUGACGGAGGAGACCCUUUCUGGCGCCUCUGCGUGGGGGUUUGAACACACUUCUCCAGUUGACUCAGAGGUGCCCGCUGUGCUCCCUGUGGAUCGCCCUCACGAGCAAGUCCCCAUAAAGCGUCACUUGGACGCUUCUGUUUUGGUGCCUCAGUGAGGAUAGUAUGUUUUUCUUCCCAGGGUUUCAGGGUCAGUUUUCUUUGUCCCCCAGUUGCUGCUGUGAGGGGCAGAGUUCAGCAGUUUUUGUGUUUUUCGUGGUGAGCGGUGCAGGGGUGGGACCCGCCUGGAGGUGAGCGUGUGAUGGCCAGGGGUUCAGGUAGUAGCUUUGGGGCAGCUUGGCCUGUUGCUCUGUCCUCAAGCAGCCUGGGGGGAGCACUGGCCUGUGCCCGCUGACCUUUGACCCUUGCCAGCUCUGCAGAUAGCCGGCCAGUCCCUGGGAAGAGGUGGCCCCCCUGCUCCAGGAAGCGGUGGGGCCUUUGUCUCCAUGGCCUCAGGCCUCAGCGCUGCUCCUUCAGGCCUGCGCGCUGUGCUGGGGAGCAUUCUGGCCCCAUCUACAGGCGGACCCUGUGCUGUUUCCAGUACGGCAGCAGGGGCUGGCUGAGUGUGGACUCUGGGGCCCGCUGCCGCGGGAGACCCCGGCCACGGAGGACACAGGACGUGGAUGUGUGGACGCGCCAGGGCAGGUGGAUGAGAGCUGAGUGCAGGCGGCCCUGGCCUGCACAGACGGGUGGUAGCGUUGGACCUCGGACUGUGCAGACAGGCCCCUUUUUCUGUAGCCCGUGUUUUAGGGAAACUUGUGAGGAGGGUGUCCGGUCCGUCAGGCAGGCGGGGUCCCAGUGCACCUGCUGAGCUCAGCCGCCAGGUGCCGAGUGGGGCAGCUGUGUGGCGACAAGGCACGGGAUGCGUGGGGUGGGAGCUGUUAGUCACAUUCCUUUAGAAGGCGAGAGCACGUGCUCUCAAAACCGCACAGAAGGUGGACUGGCCAGAAAGUCCCGGUGGCGCCUCUCCCUCUGGCCCCGCUGGUUUCACUGUGGGGCAGAGGGAAAGGGGUGCAAAGCACCUCCUCCCUCCGCCAGCCUUGCUCACUGUCCCAUCGCUCAGUGAGGAGCAUGGGGUGUGUGUGGGGUUCACGCAGGAACCUGCUCAGUGUUUGCACCCAGAGCACACAUAGGCUCAAGUCUUGCCUGAAAAGGGCGUCAGGACAGAGAUUUGACAUGUGCCCAAACUUGGACGCAAUGGGAAGGAGUGGAGGGGCAUUCCAGGAGGAAGUGUUGUAUUAAAAGUGUCCCCAAAGUGAAAGCAUCACCGGCUGACCUCUGCUGAAAUAGAGCACGUGUGCUUGUCCCCUUGAAGGGCUUCUGCCCAAACGGUUUGGAGUUCAGCUGUGAUGCUGGGGUUCUAGGUUCAGACGCUCAGAGACCGGAAUUCUGGUCCUGCUCCAGCUGGCGCCCACCUUAGGGGCUGGUCCUCACUGCCUUUCUGAGAUUAGUUAUAGCUCACCCGCGUAACAUUCUUCACUUUAACAGUUUGUCUCAUCUCAGAUCCGGAGAGAAAAGGGACCUCCGUGUUUUGACGACUUCCUUUUGGAUUUCUGAAUUCUGGUUCAGCGCUGCUUUAUAAAACCACAAGAUCUCUGCUGUUCGUUUCAUUACAUCGUGUGCCUUCACGUGCUUCACCGUCGCGUUCUCUGAUGCCGUUUCUUUCCAACUCAAAAGUUAAAAAUAGUAUCUGAUCCUCAUUACUAGUUUCUAAAGGUUUUGAACGUCUCUUGGGAUGUUGGUUAUGGAUUAUUGGUGGUUUACUUGUUGGAAGAUCAUACUUUAAGUAGCAUUUGAGAGUGGACGUGAUGCUUUGUUUUUUAUCAUGAGUCCGCAUAAGACUAUUAAAUUGCCUUCGCUGAGCCUGAUGCUUCGUAAAGCGAAGGUGUAGGUGACCCACCCCUUGGAAUGCGUCACCGAGGCGACCCCUUGAAAAGGUUAUUCCUUGCCUGAAUUUAGAUGUCUCUUAAGGGGUGGCUGGGAAAGGGGGCGUUUAGCAUUGAGUGACUGUUUGGUCAAGAUUUGUCCCAAUGUAAAGUUAAUUUUAAGAAACCCUCAGCGUUCUCUCUAAGUUUCCCUCAUUGAGAAGGCUCUUGUGAGAGUGUUUCAAGAUGUUCUGUGGUCUGUCCUGCGCCUGGUUUAGCGACUAGUUGUCACAGAGUAAAACCUUUAAGCAGUGUUAAUACUGAGAGUUAACUGUGUAUUUAUGUGAUCACAGGUGUCAUUCUUCUAGAAGCAUAACUGAGUCCCUGCUGGUGAUAUAUUCUUGUGCAGAUUUAAUUCAAAUGGAGAUUGCAGCCAAGCUGCAAAUACCCCAGGGGACUGAUAAAAACCUGGGAAAAGAAGAUUCCAGAAUACUUACUGUGCUCCCCAUAAAGAUGGAAAAUGCAAUAAAUAGAAAGUCUGAAGUAAAUGGUACUUUAAA
RNAcentral lists this long non-coding RNA (4019 nucleotides) under Sus scrofa (pig). RNAcentral's name for it is "lncRNA (ENSSSCG00040000759.1)". Lineage: Eukaryota; Metazoa; Chordata; Mammalia; Artiodactyla; Suidae. The record is from RNAcentral.